RNAcentral lists this long non-coding RNA (328 nucleotides) under Amborella trichopoda. RNAcentral describes it as "long non-coding RNA (ATRI_LNC004175)". The record is from RNAcentral. Lineage: Eukaryota; Viridiplantae; Streptophyta; Magnoliopsida; Amborellales; Amborellaceae.
UUUUUUCUAUGAUACGGUGUAUCAUGUGGGGAGCAUGACAAAAUGCAUUCUCUACUUCCCCCGUUUCUAUGCGGCCAAGCGCAAAUGCGGGCCUCUUAAUAAAUAUAUUUUGUGAUGGAUUUUAAGACUUAAUUUUUUAGGACAUUUAAUAUCUAACAUGGAGAUCAUGAAUAUAAAUAAAUAAAUAAAUCUAAAAAUUAGAAAGAAUAAUUCUAGUAAGAAAAUAUUUGGGCCGUUAGUUUUCAUUGUUUUUAGAUCGAACACCUACUUGCAUCCAUAUUUAAGAUGGAUGCUUUACACUUUCUGGACCGUAUAUGUAGAAAUGCGG